RNAcentral lists this ribosomal RNA (468 nucleotides) under uncultured bacterium. RNAcentral's name for it is "partial 16S ribosomal RNA". It matches the Rfam family "Bacterial small subunit ribosomal RNA", at positions 28 to 507 of the family's 1533-position model. The record is from RNAcentral.
GACGAACGCUGGCGGCGUGCUUAACACAUGCAAGUCGAACGGAAAGGCCCUGCUUUUGUGGGGUGCUCGAGUGGCGAACGGGUGAGUAACACGUGAGUAACCUGCCCUUGACUUUGGGAUAACUUCAGGAAACUGGGGCUAAUACCGGAUAGCAGCUCCUGCUGCAUGGUGGGGGUUGGAAAGUUUCGGCGGUUGGGGAUGGACUCGCGGCUUAUCAGCUUGUUGGUGGGGUAGUGGCUUACCAAGGCUUUGACGGGUAGCCGGCCUGAGAGGGUGACCGGCCACAUUGGGACUGAGAUACGGCCCAGACUCCUACGGGAGGCAGCAGUGGGGAAUAUUGCACAGUGGGCGGAAGCCUGAUGCAGCAACGCCGCGUGCGGGAUGACGGCCUUCGGGUUGUAAACCGCUUUCGCCUGUGACGAAGCGUGAGUGACGGUAAUGGGUAAAGAAGCACCGGCUAACUACGUG